Molecule: long non-coding RNA, 895 nt
Organism: Macrobrachium nipponense
Lineage: Eukaryota; Metazoa; Arthropoda; Malacostraca; Decapoda; Palaemonidae
Exons: 3
Source: RefSeq, a predicted model, not a curated record
UGUAGGUUAACAGGUCACCUCCUUCAUCCUUGUUUUACGUAACCCACUGCAAUUUCAUUCCUAGUGAAUUCGAUGGGUUGCCUAACAAUCGAACGCAAUCGCAUAAGGAAUUUCCACGACGUUAUUCAGUAUGGUACACUACACAAAGAAUUGAAAAAAUUGUAUCCAAGAAAAGGGUCAGAUAUUGAAGUCAUAGCAGGAUCUGCAAGUUUGUUCUAGCAACCUUACAUAUAAGUUACGCUGGUAGAGAGAGACCUCUGCAAGGUUUCCUUGGCGAGACUUGCUUGUUAAGGUGAUGUUCAGGACGUCAACUAAAAUAUUGCCAAAUAUUAAAUAAAACAUUGCCAAAUAUUAAUCUUACCCAAUAUGUCUAGCAUGUAAACUGUAUCAUGUUUAGUUCAUGAUACAGUUGUCUUGGACUUAAUUAACUUUAUUAAAUAACAUUUAACAACUAGUUAAUUUCUUUUCUUGUGGUGGGGGUAAUUUUGAAUAUAAACAACUUUUAGAGAUUGAUCAGAUUUUAUUGUUCACUGUACAGCAAUUGAUUCACCUACUCUUGAUUCACCUACUCAGUAAAUGAAGGAAUGUGGAAAAAAAAAGUUGGUAUUGCCAGCACUAUAUAGUUGGGUAUUGGUGGUUGUCUAUAAUGCAUUCUUCUCUCAAGAAACUAGUUUACAGGUCGUUGGCUAUACUAUUGUCCAGGAGAUAUCUGUGUGAUGCUGUGGAAGAGGACCUCUAUUUGUAGGUAAAGGCCUGUUGUGCUUCACCUCUCCUUAGUCCUUUAAUAGACAUUCCAGAAGAUCAUUUUCCUGGUAGGUGCAUAUUUUUGUACUACAAAAGUGGUGCUGUUGCUGCUCUUGUCCCUUCUUGUUGAAAGUAUCCUUUUGGAGGGAGU